GCAAUGCAGAUCAGGAGCAGACUGCUGCAGCAGGGGGAAGGGGACAGACUGCUGUGCUGCUUUGCCAUUUAUCAGCACAGAGAGCUCACAGAG
Non-coding RNA from Chelonoidis abingdonii (Abingdon island giant tortoise), 93 nucleotides. The record is from RefSeq and is a predicted model, not a curated record. NCBI's taxonomy places the organism in Eukaryota, Metazoa, Chordata, Testudines, Testudinidae.